RNAcentral lists this ribosomal RNA (253 nucleotides) under uncultured bacterium. RNAcentral's name for it is "partial 16S ribosomal RNA". It matches the Rfam family "Bacterial small subunit ribosomal RNA", at positions 524 to 776 of the family's 1533-position model. The record is from RNAcentral.
UACGUAGGUGGCAAGCGUUGUCCGGAUUUACUGGGCGUAAAGAGCGCGCAGGCGGUCGUUCAAGUCGCGUGUGAAAGCCCCCGGCUCAACUGGGGAGGGUCACGCGAUACUGAUCGACUCGAAGGCAGGAGAGGGUAGUGGAAUUCCCGGUGUAGUGGUGAAAUGCGUAGAUAUCGGGAGGAACACCAGUGGCGAAGGCGGCAUCCUGGACCAACACUGACGCUGAUGAGCGAAAGCCAGGGGAGCAAACGGG